This 220-nucleotide unclassified non-coding RNA is filed under the name uncultured Tomentella. Its description in RNAcentral is "sequence contains ITS2". Lineage: Eukaryota; Fungi; Basidiomycota; Agaricomycetes; Thelephorales; Thelephoraceae. The record is from RNAcentral.
ACACCUCAACUCUCAUGGUUUGCCAUGACGAGCUUGGACCGUUGGGGGUUUUGCUGGCUUGUCGUCGGCUCCUCUCAAAUGAAUCAGCUUGCCAGCGUUUGGUGGCGUCACGGGUGUGAUAACUAUCUACGCCUGUGGUUUUCUGCCAUGUAGCCUUCAGUGAUGGAGGUUCGCUGGAGCUCAUAGACGUCUCUCCUCAGCGAAGACAGUUUUUGUGAAC